GCCGGGGUAGCUCAGUCGGUUAGAGCAUGCGUCUCAUAAGCGCAGGGUCGGCGGUUCGAGUCCGCCCUCCGGCACCA
Molecule: transfer RNA, 77 nt
Filed under: Acidimicrobiia bacterium
Lineage: Bacteria; Bacillati; Actinomycetota; Acidimicrobiia
Also listed under: 1 other name
Description: tRNA-Met
Rfam family: tRNA
About the family: Transfer RNA (tRNA) molecules are approximately 80 nucleotides in length.
Source: RNAcentral